Long non-coding RNA from Helianthus annuus (common sunflower), 3688 nucleotides. RefSeq lists it as uncharacterized. The record is from RefSeq and is a predicted model, not a curated record. The transcript is spliced from 4 exons. NCBI's taxonomy places the organism in Eukaryota, Viridiplantae, Streptophyta, Magnoliopsida, Asterales, Asteraceae.
UCACCCACUCCCCUAUGUCUCACCAAAUUCUCGUAAUUAGGGUUCCUAAUCUCCAUGGAAAUCCACUCGUAGGAUACAAAUCCUCCACUCUUUCUUGAUUUCCGCACUUCAUUUAACUGUAUUGUCAACUAAAAUCACUUUGAUUUCACCGUUCCGCACUUGAUUUAACUGUAUUGUCAACUAAAAUCACUUUGAUUUCACCGAUUUCGAGCGCCCCUGAUAGGUGGAGAUUGGUGAAGGCUCAUGGUAAGGUCGUGCUUCCGACUGAUGAUGACAUGGGGAACAGUGAAGUCGGGCAUAAUGCUCUUGGUGCCGGACGAAUUGAAAACUGUAAUAGCGACUUCUUCCUCUGUGGCAUCGCCAGUAAAUAGGUUGAAUUGGUGACUUCGUUUGGCAUCGCAUCUCUUCUCUGGUAUGCUUACAUCAAUUACUUGAAACGAGUUGGAUGAUUAGAUGAUUAAUUGUUUGAUAUUAUUUGGCUGUUUGUGUUAAUUUAUUAAUUUGAAAAACGUUGACAGUGUGUUUGAUUUAUGAUUAUUUAAUUAGGAAAAUACCCUUGAGUUUUACAAGCUUUCAUAUCGAUUGUUUAAUUCAGUUUACAAUUAGAUGUAUUUUACUUGGGCUACUGUAAGGAAAAUACUUGGUAAAGUUAUUAUCCCUAAACACAUAUGAUAGGUUUAUUCAUACAUGAGCUAAUUGGCAUUCGUUGCUGACUGUCAGAUGAGUACCAGCACCGAGCACCCAACGUUGUUUCUAGUGGAUAAUGUGUAAUCAAUUUGUGCCCUGGACAUCCACAUGGAUGAAUGGGGUGUGGAUGUAAUUCCAUUAUUUAUACAUCAUUCAUUUCACUUUAUUUUGUAAAAGAUUUUUGAAUGGUUACAGGUAAACCAUUCAAAAUAUCAAAUUAAUGCCUUGGUUUGUUGCAGUUCUAUACACCAACUAUUGGAAAAAAGAAGAUAAAUCAUGGAAGUCAGUUCUUCUCGAUAACAGUUUUUAUCUUUUCUUCAUGCUCACUAUUUUUCUCAAUAACUUAAAAAAAAACAUUUUUUUAACCAACCCGACCCGACCCUAAACCCGUUCUGACCCGAACCAAAAUAACCCUUUUUUAAUUAACCCAUUUUGACCCGAACCCAUUUUGACCCAUGACCCGACCCGAUCCUUGGCGCCAGGUGGUCAGCACCUUGGCGCCAUGCUUAGGGUACCUAAUGAAAGGGGGAGGGGGGUCCUGUGCCACCGGCUUGUUGUGGUGGAGUUAAAGGACUCAAUAAUGCUGCAAAGUCGACUCCUGACCGUCAGGCUGCCUGCGGAUGCUUAAAGAGUGUGUAUGCGUCCAACUCGGGCGUUAAUCUCAGCUUUGCAAGCAGCCUCCCGGGGAAGUGCGGUGUCAACAUCCCUUAUAAGAUUAGCCCUAGCACCGACUGCUCCACUGUUCAUUAAGGCUGGAACUUAUGCAUGAAGGGAAUAUUAGAAGCAUAUGGUGUAUUUGGCUAUAAGCCUAUAAAUAAUGCUCUUGUUAUCUCUCACAGUGUCUUUGGCUGUAAAGGGCAAAACUUUAUUAAUGCUCUUGUUAAAAACAUUUUUUAAACCAACCUAACCCGACCCUAAACCCGUUCUGGCCCAAACCCGUUUCGACCCGAACCCAAAUAACCCUUUUUUUAAUUAACCCAUUUUGACCCGAACCCAUUUCGACCCGAACCCGUUUUGACCCAUGACCCGACCCGACCCGUUUGCCAGGUCUAAUUUUGCCAUGAGUUUUCGUUUCAAACUAACCAAAUUGUGUAUCUUGUAUCCUUUGAUAACUGGGGCUCAAUAAAGGUUUCUUCCAUGCCUUCAACAAUGUGUCGGUGAUGACAUGGUUAUGGUUAAGGUCAAUUCUCUUAAAGCAUGGAUUAGCACUACUAUUAUCUUUCAGUCUUGAAACUAGGGACGGCAAAACGGACCUGUUAGGUGGGUUAGAUAACAAGUCAAAAUGGGUAGAUUUUUAUGUCGCCAGAGGAUAAAGAGUGGCUCGAGAAGGAUAUUGAAGAUUGUGUUCGUUUCUCUCCGGGCAGACGUCAAAUUCCGUUUUAUGAGAAUGAAGAGUGGGUCAGGCAAUUCGGAGAGAAACUGUAAGUUGAAAUGCAAAGCGAAUUGUAUCAACAACAUUUUUGUUACAAACUACAUUUUCAUGGUUAUUGAUGAUACGGAGAAAGGUCGAUACCGUUAUGCGGGUCAGUGGAAACAUGGCAGAAUGCAUGGUUGCGGUGUUUUUGAACUCAAUGAACGAACCUAUUAUGGACGAUUUUACUUUGGAUACAUAUACACUUAAUAAAUGUGGUCAAAACAUUGUUUUUCUGGUACAGUGGUCCGAGAAGAGCGGGGUCCAUAUAGUGAUCCGCAGCAUCCCUACUUGUAUGAAGGAGAAGAUAUGUGGAUGGCCCCAGGCUUCAUCAAUCAGUUUUUUGAAGUCCCAGAUUACCGGAAAGCUUAUAUGGAAGACGUGGAUGAAGAACAACAAAUGUGGAUAAACUCGUUUUAUAAGGCCCCAUUAAGGUUACAUAUGCCAGCUGAGCUCGUAGUACACAUUAGAUGAUUUGAACAUGUAAUGCAUUCAACGCGCUCCACUGUAUAAUUUAAUCUGAUGAGUAGAGACAUCCGCCGCAACGCGCGGGCAUUCCUACUAGUAUCAAUAAUAUAAACCACAUUUAAUAAGAAACUUUGAAUAAAGAUUUUAUGUUCUCUUAUUACAGGUCAUGUAAAAGCUCUUCAAGCGUUACAUGGAACCAGUUGGCACGAGUGUUUUCUUGGUCUUUGGAUGGCCGUUCUUCGGCUUGUUCAAAGGAUUCGGAUUUCUAUCAAAUUUAGUCUUUUUUUGUGUAUCAAAACAACCUGCAAAUUUGGAUGUUUAAUCGUCUUGUUUGUUUUCAGGAAAGAGAUCCCAUUGAAGGUCCUAUGCCGCGUUUGGAUACUCGUUUAUGCAUGUUAUUGUCUAUCACAACUUUAGUGGUUUCUGAUUUAAUCGAGGACGAAGAAAGUUUGUCACAAAACAAUAUUAACUGCCAAACAACACAAACUUGCAAAGAAAACCGCCGUAUGGAGUUGGUGUCAAGUUUACAAAGUUUGGAUGACUAUCAGACCUUGCUGACUCCUCCUCAGGCGGUUAUUGCCGCCGCCAAUCAGGCUGCUGCAAGAGCAAUGAUGAUCAUAUCCGGCAUUAAUGUCGGUAGCAGCGCAUACUUUGACCUGGUCAACACGAAAGAUAUUGUAGCUGGAAACUUGCACCAUUUGAUAGUCGAGGCUUAUAUCGCAAGAAAUCUGUUGGAUACAUCAGCGUAUUACUGGCCAGGCUACAUAACCGGUUGUAUUAACCAAAUCCCGCAUGGCAUGCCAGCUCAGGUUGAACCCGCCAAACCGUUUAGCUAAACGGGUCAAGGUUAUAGCCGAAAGCCUGUCUGAGGUUUGAGAGAGUGUUCAAAUGAAAAGAUAAGGUGGAUAAAGAUACUAUACUCGAUAGGAUGUCACAAAUUGAAGCUAUGUUAACAAGUACGAUUCGAAGAUAGGCUACAAACACUUGGUUUUAAAUGUUUCGAUGUUUAUCAUAUUAGGAUAAUUUUAGUUAUCUGAUGUUUUAGCUGGUAUUUCUAUUAGAAUGUUUUAUAUGCUUUUGAUACAGAGAUGUUUUAUAUAAUUUUGGGUUUUCGUGAUCUUA